RNAcentral lists this ribosomal RNA (1361 nucleotides) under uncultured bacterium. RNAcentral's name for it is "bacterial SSU rRNA". It matches the Rfam family "Bacterial small subunit ribosomal RNA", at positions 28 to 1381 of the family's 1533-position model. The record is from RNAcentral.
AUUGAACGCUGGCGGCAGGCCUAACACAUGCAAGUCGAACGGUAGCACAGAGAGCUUGCUCUCGGGUGACGAGUGGCGGACGGGUGAGUAAUGUCUGGGAAACUGCCCGAUGGAGGGGGAUAACUACUGGAAACGGUAGCUAAUACCGCAUAACGUCGCAAGACCAAAGAGGGGGACCUUCGGGCCUCUUGCCAUCGGAUGUGCCCAGAUGGGAUUAGCUUGUAGGUGAGGUAACGGCUCACCUAGGCGACGAUCCCUAGCUGGUCUGAGAGGAUGACCAGCCACACUGGAACUGAGACACGGUCCAGACUCCUACGGGAGGCAGCAGUGGGGAAUAUUGCACAAUGGGCGCAAGCCUGAUGCAGCCAUGCCGCGUGUAUGAAGAAGGCCUUCGGGUUGUAAAGUACUUUCAGCGGGGAGGAAGGGAGUGAGGUUAAUAACCUCAUUCAUUGACGUUACCCGCAGAAGAAGCACCGGCUAACUCCGUGCCAGCAGCCGCGGUAAUACGGAGGGUGCGAGCGUUAAUCGGAAUUACUGGGCGUAAAGCGCACGCAGGCGGUCUGUCAAGUCGGAUGUGAAAUCCCCGGGCUCAACCUGGGAACUGCAUUCGAAACUGGCAGGCUGGAGUCUUGUAGAGGGGGGUAGAAUUCCAGGUGUAGCGGUGAAAUGCGUAGAGAUCUGGAGGAAUACCGGUGGCGAAGGCGGCCCCCUGGACAAAGACUGACGCUCAGGUGCGAAAGCGUGGGGAGCAGACAGGAUUAGAUACCCUGGUAGUCCACGCUGUAAACGAUGUCGACUUGGAGGUUGUUCCCUUGAGGAGUGGCUUCCGGAGCUAACGCGUUAAGUCGACCGCCUGGGGAGUACGGCCGCAAGGUUAAAACUCAAAUGAAUUGACGGGGGCCCGCACAAGCGGUGGAGCAUGUGGUUUAAUUCGAUGCAACGCGAAGAACCUUACCUACUCUUGACAUCCAGAGAACUUAGCAGAGAUGCUUUGGUGCCUUCGGGAACUCUGAGACAGGUGCUGCAUGGCUGUCGUCAGCUCGUGUUGUGAAAUGUUGGGUUAAGUCCCGCAACGAGCGCAACCCUUAUCCUUUGUUGCCAGCGAUUCGGUCGGGAACUCAAAGGAGACUGCCAGUGAUAAACUGGAGGAAGGUGGGGAUGACGUCAAGUCAUCAUGGCCCUUACGAGUAGGGCUACACACGUGCUACAAUGGCAUAUACAAAGAGAAGCGACCUCGCGAGAGCAAGCGGACCUCAUAAAGUAUGUCGUAGUCCGGAUUGGAGUCUGCAACUCGACUCCAUGAAGUCGGAAUCGCUAGUAAUCGUGGAUCAGAAUGCCACGGUGAAUACGUUCCCGGGCCU